CCUACGGGAGGCAGCAGUGGGGAAUAUUGCGCAAUGGGCGAAAGCCUGACGCAGCGACGUCGCGUGCGGGAUGACGGCCCUCGGGUCGUAAACCUCUGUCAGCAGGGAAGAACGGUCCCUGUGCUAAUCAGCAGUGAAUUUACGGUAUCUGCAAAGGCAGCACCGUCUAACUCCGUGCAAGCAGCCGCGGUAAUACGGACGGUGCGAGCGUUAAUCGGAAUUACUGGGCGUAAAGCGAUCGUAGGCGGUAUGUCAAGUCAAGGGUGAAAUCCCCGCGCUCAACGUGGGAACUGCCUUUUGAACUGGCAUACUGGAGUGUGUGGAAGGUUAGUGGAAUUCCAGGUGUAGGAGUGAAAUCCGUAGAUAUCUGGAGGAACAUCAGUGGCGAAGGCGACUAACUG
This 401-nucleotide ribosomal RNA is filed under the name uncultured bacterium. RNAcentral's name for it is "partial 16S ribosomal RNA". It matches the Rfam family "Bacterial small subunit ribosomal RNA", at positions 338 to 731 of the family's 1533-position model. The record is from RNAcentral.